This 695-nucleotide ribosomal RNA is filed under the name uncultured organism. RNAcentral describes it as "bacterial SSU rRNA". It matches the Rfam family "Bacterial small subunit ribosomal RNA", at positions 725 to 1424 of the family's 1533-position model. The record is from RNAcentral.
CUCACUAAGCUGAUACUGACGCUGAGGCACGAAAGCGUGGGGAGCGAACAGGAUUAGAUACCCUGGUAGUCCACGCUGUAAACGAUGAUCACUCGCUGUUUGGCAAUACAUCGUCAGCGGCUGAGCGAAAGCAUUAAGUGAUCCACCUGGGGAGUACGUCGGCAACGAUGAAACUCAAAGGAAUUGACGGGGGCCCGCACAAGCGGUGGAACAUGUGGUUUAAUUCGAUGAUACGCGAGGAACCUUACCUGGGCUUAAAUGCAGAACGACGGUUCCCGAAAGGGAUCCUUCUUCGGACGGACUGCAAGGUGCUGCAUGGUUGUCGUCAGCUCGUGCCGUGAGGUGUCGGGUUAAGUCCCAUAACGAGCGCAACCCCUAUUGUUAGUUGCCAGCGAGUAAUGUCGGGGACUCUAACGAAACUGCCGGUGUAAACCGAGAGGAAGGUGGGGAUGACGUCAAAUCAGCACGGCCCUUAUGUCCAGGGCUACACACGUGUUACAAUGGUCGAUACAGAGAGAAGCUACUUGGCGACAAGAUGCUAAUCUCGAAAAUCGUUCUUAGUUCGGAUUGGAGUCUGCAACUCGACUUCAUGAAGCUGGAAUCGCUAGUAAUCGCACAUCAGCCAUGGUGCGGUGAAUACGUUCCCGGGCCUUGUACACACCGCCCGUCAAGCCAUGGAAGCCGGGGGUACCUAA